This 369-nucleotide ribosomal RNA is filed under the name Thraustochytrium sp. Its description in RNAcentral is "partial small subunit ribosomal RNA". It matches the Rfam family "Eukaryotic small subunit ribosomal RNA", at positions 582 to 975 of the family's 1831-position model. Lineage: Eukaryota; Bigyra; Thraustochytrida; Thraustochytriidae. The record is from RNAcentral.
AUUCCAGCUCCAAUAGCAUAUAUUAACGUUGUUGCAGUUGAAAAGCUCGUAGUUGAACUUUUGGUAGGAGCGACCUGGCCUUGGGCGCAUGCCCUUGUUUGCCGUGUGUCGUAUCUGGCCAUCCUUUUCUUCUUCGGAAGGAAUCAUUUACUGUGAGUAAACUGGAGUGCUCAAAUCAAGACGUUUGUUUGGUACAUUAAAGCAUGGAAUAAUAAGAUAGGACCUGGUUACUAUUUUGUUGGUUUGCAUAGCUAGGUAAUGAUUAACAGGGACAGUUGGGGGUAUUCGUAUUUAAUUGUCAGAGGUGAAAUUCUUGGAUUUAUGAAAGACGAACGACUGCGAAAGCAUUUACCAAGGAUGUUUUCAUCG